RNAcentral lists this ribosomal RNA (253 nucleotides) under uncultured bacterium. RNAcentral's name for it is "partial 16S ribosomal RNA". It matches the Rfam family "Bacterial small subunit ribosomal RNA", at positions 524 to 776 of the family's 1533-position model. The record is from RNAcentral.
UACAGAGGGUGCGAGCGCUAAUCGGGAUUACUGGGCGUAAAGCGCACGUAGGUGGCGACGUGAGGCGGGUGUGAAAGCCCCGGGCUCAACCUGGGAAUUGCAUUCGAGACUGCAUUGCUGGAGUACGGAAGAGGAGGGCGGAAUUCCCGGUGUAGCGGUGAAAUGCGUAGAAAUCGGGAGGAACAUCAGUGGCGAAGGCGGCCCUCUGGUCCAGUACUGACACUCAAGUGCGAAAGCGUGGGGAGCAAACAGG